This 253-nucleotide ribosomal RNA is filed under the name uncultured bacterium. RNAcentral's name for it is "partial 16S ribosomal RNA". It matches the Rfam family "Bacterial small subunit ribosomal RNA", at positions 524 to 776 of the family's 1533-position model. The record is from RNAcentral.
UACGUAGGGGGCUAGCGUUGUCCGGAAUCAUUGGGCGUAAAGCGCGCGUAGGCGGCCAGAUAAGUCCGGUGUGAAAGUCAAAGGCUCAACCUUUGAAUGCCGCUGGAAACUGUCUGGCUUGAGUCCGGAAGGGGCGAGUGGAAUUCCUGGUGUAGCGGUGAAAUGCGCAGAUAUCAGGAGGAACACCAAUGGCGAAGGCAGCGUCCUGGCAAGUCACUGACGCUCAGGUGCGAAAGCUAGGGGAGCGAACGGG